RNAcentral lists this ribosomal RNA (199 nucleotides) under uncultured Streptococcaceae bacterium. Its description in RNAcentral is "partial 16S ribosomal RNA". It matches the Rfam family "Bacterial small subunit ribosomal RNA", at positions 139 to 334 of the family's 1533-position model. The record is from RNAcentral. Lineage: Bacteria; Bacillati; Bacillota; Bacilli; Lactobacillales; Streptococcaceae.
GGGAGUAACUAUUGGAAACGAUAGCUAAUACCGCAUAAGAGUAGAUGUUGCAUGACAUUUGCUUAAAGGUGCAAUUGCAUCACUACCAGAUGGACCUGCGUUGUAUUAGCUAGUUGGUGAGGUAACGGCUCACCAAGGCAACGAUACAUAGCCGACCUGAGAGGGUGAUCGGCCACACUGGGACUGAGACACGGCUCAG